GACAGCAUAGCCAAGUGGUUACGGCGACAGAUUAGAAUCUUAGCUUCUAUCAUCUGUUCCUCUUUGAGGGCGCAGGUUCGAAUCCUGCUGUUGUCG
Non-coding RNA from Panus rudis PR-1116 ss-1, 96 nucleotides. Lineage: Eukaryota; Fungi; Basidiomycota; Agaricomycetes; Polyporales; Panaceae. The record is from the annotation of a GenBank genome assembly.